GCUCAGGAUGAACGCUGGCGGCAUGCCUAAUACAUGCAAGUCGAACGAGAGGAAGGAAAGCUUGCUUUUCUGAAUCUAGUGGCGAACGGGUGAGUAACACGUAGGUAACCUGCCCAUGUGCCCGGGAUAACUUCUGGAAACGGAUGCUAAAACCGGAUAGGUAGCAGACAAGCAUUUGACUGCUAUUAAAGUGGCCUUGGCCAUGAACAUGGAUGGACCUGCGGUGCAUUAGCUGGUUGGUGAGGUAACGGCCCACCAAGGCGACGAUGCAUAGCCGGCCUGAGAGGGCGGACGGCCACAUUGGGACUGAGACACGGCCCAAACUCCUACGGGAGGCAGCAGUA
Molecule: ribosomal RNA, 344 nt
Filed under: uncultured bacterium
Lineage: Bacteria
Description: bacterial SSU rRNA
Rfam family: Bacterial small subunit ribosomal RNA
Source: RNAcentral